GACGAACGCUGGCGGCGUGCUUAACACAUGCAAGUCGAACGGAAAGGCCCUGCUUUUGUGGGGUGCUCGAGUGGCGAACGGGUGAGUAACACGUGAGUAACCUGCCCUUGACUUUGGGAUAACUUCAGGAAACUGGGGCUAAUACCGGAUAGGAGCUCCUGCUGCAUGGUGGGGGUUGGAAAGUUUCGGCGGUUGGGGAUGGACUCGCGGCUUAUCAGCUUGUUGGUGGGGUAGUGGCUUACCAAGGCUUUGACGGGUAGCCGGCCUGAGAGGGUGACCGGCCACAUUGGGACUGAGAUACGGCCCAGACUCCUACGGGAGGCAGCAGUGGGGAAUAUUGCACAAUAGGCGGAAGCCUGAUGCAGCAACGCCGCGUGCGGGAUGACGGCCUUCGGGCUGUAAACCGCUUUCGCCUGUGACGAAGCGUGAGUGACGGUAAUGGGUAAAGAAGCACCGGCUAACUACGUG
This 468-nucleotide ribosomal RNA is filed under the name uncultured bacterium. Its description in RNAcentral is "partial 16S ribosomal RNA". It matches the Rfam family "Bacterial small subunit ribosomal RNA", at positions 28 to 507 of the family's 1533-position model. The record is from RNAcentral.